CUGUUUUUUGUGGGUUUUUGGCUGAGUGUAAUUUUAUACAAACAAACAAUAUGUGCCAAAAUUUAAUGAUUAUAUGAUUAUUUUUGCAUAAUACGAUAAAGUGCAAUUUUGGUGCAAAGUUAUGCGCAAGUUUUUUGUUGUUGUGUUUCUUCUUAAAGGAAAUACAUUGUUUCAGUUACAUUAUGGAAAUUAUAGUAGAAUGCAAAAAAUGCACUAUUAUAUGCUUAUUCUUUGCAUAUUUCAAAAAGUGUAAUAUCAAUGCAAAUUGUGUGCAAGUUUUGAAAGUGUUUUCAUUUUCAUUUUAUUUCUUCUUAAAGGGUUCAUUCUUUCUUAGAAAAAUUAAUUAUUUUGAUUUUGUUUUAGUCUUUUUGUUUUGAAAGUGCAAUACGAAGGCUAUGUGUUUAGUCAUUGUAGCCUGUUCCACCAAUUGUGACAUCUUUUUAUCUUUACUGUUCUUGUGCUCCUUUUGUGAGUAGUUCUAAAACUCAGACUCUGUUUAUGUACUUUUGGUUAAUAAAUUGGCUGCAUGCGUCAUUCUGAUGCAGAGGUCAGGGGCUUUCCUCCUUUCUAAAAAUAUAUGCAUUUUCCGUCAUUAUUUAUUUUAUGUGUUUUUACAUUUUGUUUUCUUUUGUGCAAUGCAAUAUCAUGCUACUAACCAUGGCCAGCCAGCUCACGCACUGACAAAGCCGGAGCUAGCAAGCUCAUGCGCGACGCGGAGCUAGCUCACACAUGGACGCAGCUGGAGCUAGCUAGCUCACGCGCCACGGCCAGCUGAAGCUAGCUACUUCACGCGCGCACGCACAAGACUCACCACACCACACGUACUAUAGGGUAAAAGAAGUGACUGACCCAUUCACAAAUUCAGUCGACUGACUGGUAGUCAGUCCCUUAAAAUUAACCUAAUAGAUACUUAUAUUCUAUUAUUAUAUGGUACAAGCUAAAUGGAAGUUAAGAUGAGUAGGAGUAGAUUGCAUGAAACGGUAAAGAUCAUACCAGUACAUGCAGUACAAAUUAGCAAGAAAAACAAAAUUACAACUGUGCCAUUGGGACAAAGAACCGCACACUUUGGACACCUAUACACACGCGUCACACAUGUAACACAAGAGGUCACCACGUGGUCGACUGUUGGUCUUGUUCCAUCCACCACCAGUUCAUCGUCCUCAUCCCGUUCCUUUCCCCAUUCCACUCGUACCUAAGUGAGAAAGCACCUGGUGGAGGCGGACGGCGAUACUUUGGGCUCCAUCUUGGCGACGGCUGACACUGCAGCUUGGCCGGAGAGCGGCUCAUGCUGCAGCUCACUGGCGUUGCGGCUCCAUCGGCUUCUUGGUGGCCCGGCAGCUACCGUUGUAGCUUGGAGCCGCAGAACCGGCAAAUGGUGCCGCUGUUGCUCAUACCGGCGAUUUGGCUAUGCUGGCACUCCCUGAAGCCAGUAACUUUUCAUGGGAAGGGAUGCCCCAGGAAGACCAUGGCAGCCGCUGUUGCCGCUCAGAUAAUUUGAUCGAAAAGGGACGGCAUGCUGAGGUGUACAAAGGACAGCUUGCUGAUGGACAGUUUGUGGCAGUGAAGAGGUUAACAAAAAUACUUAACCAAGCAUGCUGAGUAUCAUUGGCUUUGGCGACGUUGAUCCUUCUUCACGUAUGCUGGUUGUUGCAUUUGAAUUCAGAUUCUCUUGAUUGGAGUGGAGAGGAGCAGAGACGAGAGGAGCAGCAUAAGUGGACAGCGCAGCGGCUGACCUCGAGCUCUUGAUUGGACUGGGGGGAGGCGGCCGGCGAAGGAUCUGGCGUCUGGC
Triticum dicoccoides is the source of this 1789-nucleotide long non-coding RNA. RefSeq lists it as uncharacterized. The record is from RefSeq and is a predicted model, not a curated record. The transcript is spliced from 4 exons. Lineage: Eukaryota; Viridiplantae; Streptophyta; Magnoliopsida; Poales; Poaceae.